GGGGGUAUAGCUCAGCUGGUUAGAGCACCGGCUUUGCAAGCCGGGGGGCCGGGGUUCGAGUCCCCGUACUUCCA
RNAcentral lists this transfer RNA (74 nucleotides) under Olavius algarvensis spirochete endosymbiont. It matches the Rfam family "tRNA". Rfam says of the family: Transfer RNA (tRNA) molecules are approximately 80 nucleotides in length. Their secondary structure includes four short double-helical elements and three loops (D, anti-codon, and T loops). The record is from RNAcentral. Lineage: Bacteria; Pseudomonadati; Spirochaetota; Spirochaetia; Spirochaetales.